Molecule: ribosomal RNA, 253 nt
Filed under: uncultured bacterium
Lineage: Bacteria
Description: partial 16S ribosomal RNA
Rfam family: Bacterial small subunit ribosomal RNA
Source: RNAcentral
UACGAAGGGGGCUAGCGUUGCUCGGAAUUACUGGGCGUAAAGGGCGCGUAGGCGGAUAUUUAAGUUGGGGGUGAAAGCCCGGGGCUCAACCUCGGAAUUGCCUUCAAUACUGGAUAUCUUGAGUUCGGGAGAGGUGAGUGGAAUGCCGAGUGUAGAGGUGAAAUUCGUAGAUAUUCGGCGGAACACCAGUGGCGAAGGCGACUCACUGGCCCGAUACUGACGCUGAGGCGCGAAAGCGUGGGGAGCAAACAGG